UUAAUUCUUGUCCAUUUUAAUAAUAUGUGUUUACCAUAUGUGUUAUGACGUAUAUUUUGAGGAUAUCGCUAGGGGCCCGUAAAUAGGGUCCAGGACUUCACCGUCCUUGGGUUGCCACAAUGCGAUUUGAGGUAUAUUUUGAGGAUGUCGCCAGGGGCCCGUAAAUAGGGUCCGGGACUUUAAUAGUCCUUGGAUUGCCACAGUGCGAAUA
Molecule: long non-coding RNA, 211 nt
Filed under: Salvia miltiorrhiza (redroot sage)
Lineage: Eukaryota; Viridiplantae; Streptophyta; Magnoliopsida; Lamiales; Lamiaceae
Description: long non-coding RNA (SMIL_LNC012508)
Source: RNAcentral